UACAGAGGUCUCAAGCGUUGUUCGGAUUCAUUGGGCGUAAAGGGUGCGUAGGCGGCGCGGUAAGUCGGGUGUGAAAUCUUGGAGCUUAACUCCGAAACUGCAUUCGAUACUGCCGUGCUUGAGGACUGGAGAGGAGACUGGAAUUUACGGUGUAGCGGUGGAAUGCGCAGAUAUCAGGAGGAACACCAAUGGCGAAGGCAGCACUCUGGUACGUGAUUGACGCUGAGACGCGAAAGCGUGGGGAGCAAACAGG
RNAcentral lists this ribosomal RNA (253 nucleotides) under uncultured bacterium. Its description in RNAcentral is "partial 16S ribosomal RNA". It matches the Rfam family "Bacterial small subunit ribosomal RNA", at positions 524 to 776 of the family's 1533-position model. The record is from RNAcentral.